GACGAACGCUGGCGGCGUGCUUAACACAUGCAAGUCGAACGGAAAGGCCCCCACUUUUUUGGUGGGGGUGCUCGAGUGGCGAACGGGUGAGUAACACGUGGGUGAUCUGCUCUGUACUUCGGGAUAAGCUUGGGAAACUUGCUCUAAUACCGGAUAGGACCAUGGUUUAGUGUCUCAUGGUGGUAAAAUUAUUGUUUUUUUGCAGAAUGAGCUCGCGGCCUAUCAGCUUGUUGGUGGGGUAAUGGCCUACCAAGGCGUCGGCGGGUAGCCGGCCUGAGAGGGUGGACAGCCAGGUUGGGACAGAGAUACGGCCCAGACUCGUACGGGAGACAGCAGUGGGGAAUAUCGCACGAUGGGCGCAAGCCUGAUGCAGCGAGGGCGCGUGGGGAAUGACGGCCGUCGGGUUGUACACUCCUUUCGUUAGGAACGAAGCCGCACCUUUGUUGGGUGUGGUGACGGUACCUUUGUGAAGAAGCACCGGCUAACUACGUG
This 492-nucleotide ribosomal RNA is filed under the name uncultured bacterium. Its description in RNAcentral is "partial 16S ribosomal RNA". It matches the Rfam family "Bacterial small subunit ribosomal RNA", at positions 28 to 507 of the family's 1533-position model. The record is from RNAcentral.